RNAcentral lists this ribosomal RNA (811 nucleotides) under Mastigophora woodsii. RNAcentral's name for it is "eukaryotic LSU rRNA". The stretch from base 346 to 499 matches the Rfam family "5.8S ribosomal RNA". Lineage: Eukaryota; Viridiplantae; Streptophyta; Jungermanniopsida; Jungermanniales; Mastigophoraceae. The record is from RNAcentral.
AACCGGCGAACUGUGGCUGUCCCCCGAGGGGCCUCACCCGGAGGUGAGGCCGUCGAUGGCGUGGCUCGGUCGGUCUACAGGCCGCCGACCCGCGAGCGAGGUGGGCACCUGUCUCGCCGUCGUCUGGAGUGUCCCGUACUCGUGGUUCCGAUCGCCUGGGGCUGGCUUCCCUCUGGCGAGGGAGUUGGUCUCGGGUGGUCGGGGCCGGGCCCUCCCCUCCCCCUUUGUCUCNNNNNNNNNNNNNNNNNNNNNNNNNNNNNNNNNNNNNNNCUUGAGGAACGUGAAUAGAGAGACUGAGCCUGGGGCUCCCGCUUCCGCGGGACCCGAGUCGAAAACCAAAACAACGACUCUCAGCAACGGAUAUCUUGGCUCUUGCAACGAUGAAGAACGCAGCGAAAUGCGAUACCUAGUGUGAAUUGCAGAAUUCCGCGAAUCAUCGAGUCUUUGAACGCAAGUUGCGCCCGAGGCUUGUCCCGAGGGCAUGCCUGCCUGAGCGUCACCGCACUCCCACUCCCGUGCUUGCAUCUCGGUUCUCGGACCGGGGGGCACGUUGCCCGAGUGGAACUGGCCGUCCGGGACCCGGCGUGAAGCAGGUGGUCGCGGUUGGCUGAAAUGUAGCGUUCUGGUCGCAGCUCAAGAGAGAGGCCGCGAGAAGGUGAUCCGCUCUUUGCCGGGCGGAGUCAAAAGACAGCGGCUCUCUCCCUUGGGUGGUCCGGACGACUGCGACGGUCUCCGUCGUGGGGAACGAUGAGGGGAGAUGCCACCUCCCCUUUUUUUAGAGCUGGACCUCAGAUCAGGCAAGAUUACCCGC